GAUGAACGCUGGCGGCGUGCCUAAUACAUGCAAGUCGAGCGAACAGACGAGGAGCUUGCUCCUCUGACGUUAGCGGCGGACGGGUGAGUAACACGUGGAUAACCUACCUAUAAGACUGGGAUAACUUCGGGAAACCGGAGCUAAUACCGGAUAAUAUAUUGAACCGCAUGGUUCAAUAGUGAAAGACGGUUUUGCUGUCACUUAUAGAUGGAUCCGCGCCGCAUUAGCUAGUUGGUAAGGUAACGGCUUACCAAGGCAACGAUGCGUAGCCGACCUGAGAGGGGGAUCGGCCACACUGGAACUGAGACACGGUCCAGACUCCUACGGGAGGCAGCAGUAGGGAAUCUUCCGCAAUGGGCGAAAGCCUGACGGAGCAACGCCGCGUGAGUGAUGAAGGUCUUCGGAUCGGAAAACUCUGUUAUUAGGGAAGAACAAAUGUGUAAGUAACUAUGCACGGCUUGACGGUACCUAAUCAGAAAGCCACGGCUAACUACGUG
This 497-nucleotide ribosomal RNA is filed under the name uncultured bacterium. Its description in RNAcentral is "partial 16S ribosomal RNA". It matches the Rfam family "Bacterial small subunit ribosomal RNA", at positions 28 to 507 of the family's 1533-position model. The record is from RNAcentral.